AAAUUGAAGAGUUUGAUCAUGGCUCAGAUUGAACGCUGGCGGCAGGCCUAACACAUGCAAGUCGAACGGUAACAGGAAGCAGCUUGCUGCUUCGCUGACGAGUGGCGGACGGGUGAGUAAUGUCUGGGAAACUGCCUGAUGGAGGGGGAUAACUACUGGAAACGGUAGCUAAUACCGCAUAAUGUCGCAAGACCAAAGAGGGGGACCUUCGGGCCUCUUGCCAUCGGAUGUGCCCAGAUGGGAUUAGCUUGUUGGUGGGGUAACGGCUCACCAAGGCGACGAUCCCUAGCUGGUCUGAGAGGAUGACCAGCCACACUGGAACUGAGACACGGUCCAGACUCCUACGGGAGGCAGCAGUGGGGAAUAUUGCACAAUGGGC
This 379-nucleotide ribosomal RNA is filed under the name Escherichia coli. Its description in RNAcentral is "bacterial SSU rRNA". It matches the Rfam family "Bacterial small subunit ribosomal RNA", at positions 1 to 376 of the family's 1533-position model. Lineage: Bacteria; Pseudomonadati; Pseudomonadota; Gammaproteobacteria; Enterobacterales; Enterobacteriaceae. The record is from RNAcentral. RNAcentral also lists the same sequence under 1 other name.